RNAcentral lists this small nuclear RNA (18 nucleotides) under Arabidopsis thaliana (thale cress). RNAcentral describes it as "snRNA_14659". Lineage: Eukaryota; Viridiplantae; Streptophyta; Magnoliopsida; Brassicales; Brassicaceae. The record is from RNAcentral.
AUGUUGGCCAACAAGGAG